GAAGCCGGAAUUGCUAGUAAUGGCAGGUCAGCAUACUGCCGUGAAUACGUUCCCGGGCCUUGUACACACCGCCCGUCACACCAUGAGAGUUGGGGAUACCCGAAGCCUGUGAGCUAACUUUAGGGAGGCAGCAGUCGAAGGUAGAAUCAAUGAUUGGGGUGAAGUCGUAACAAGGUAUC
This 179-nucleotide ribosomal RNA is filed under the name uncultured bacterium. RNAcentral describes it as "partial 16S ribosomal RNA". It matches the Rfam family "Bacterial small subunit ribosomal RNA", at positions 1322 to 1500 of the family's 1533-position model. The record is from RNAcentral.